CACCCUGGCUCUGGUCAUCUCCAGGGACACUGAAACACAGAGAUAUUACCAAGUCACACACCUGCAGCCUGCAGCCUCGACCUGGGU
Arvicanthis niloticus (Nile rat) is the source of this 87-nucleotide long non-coding RNA. RefSeq lists it as uncharacterized. The record is from RefSeq and is a predicted model, not a curated record. Lineage: Eukaryota; Metazoa; Chordata; Mammalia; Rodentia; Muridae.